AUUGAACGCUGGCGGCAGGCCUAACACAUGCAAGUCGAGCGGAUGAAGGGAGCUUGCUCCUGGAUUCAGCUGCGGACGGGUGAGUAAUGCCUAGGAAUCUGCCUUGUAGUGGGGGAUAACGUCCGGAAACGGGCGCUAAUCCAGCAUACGUCCUGAUGUAGAAAGUGGGGGAUCUUCGGACCUCACGCUAUCAGAUGAGCCUAGGUCGGAUUAGCUAGUUGGUGAGGUAAAGGCCUACUAAGGCGACGAUCCGUAACUGGUCUGAGAGGAUGAUCAGUCACACUGGAACUGAGACACGGUCCAGACUCCUACGGGAGGCAGCAGUGGGGAAUCUUGGACAAUGGGCGAAAGCCUGAUCCAGCCAUGCCGCGUGUGUGAAGAAGGUCUUCGGAUUGUAAAGCACUUUAAGUUGGGAGGAAGGGCAGUAAGUUAAUACCUUGCUGUUUUGACGGUACCAACAGAAUAAGCACCGGCUAACUUCGUG
This 484-nucleotide ribosomal RNA is filed under the name uncultured bacterium. RNAcentral describes it as "partial 16S ribosomal RNA". It matches the Rfam family "Bacterial small subunit ribosomal RNA", at positions 30 to 507 of the family's 1533-position model. The record is from RNAcentral.